Strigops habroptila (Kakapo) is the source of this 3200-nucleotide RNA transcript. It is a transcript of the gene named phospholipase C delta 3, with no coding region annotated. The transcript is spliced from 16 exons. NCBI's taxonomy places the organism in Eukaryota, Metazoa, Chordata, Aves, Psittaciformes, Psittacidae. The record is from RefSeq and is a predicted model, not a curated record.
CCGGCUGCACCGGCCGGGGGCACCGGGGACACCGCCGGCACCGGAAACACCGGGAGUGCCGGGGACACCGGGGGUGCAGGCGGCACCGCCGGGACCGGGAGCUCCAGGAGUACCGGGAGCAGCGGGGGUACCGGGGGAACCAUGAUCUGCGGCUGGAAGGCACGUCCCGCCGUCGAGCAGCCCCGCUCCCCGUCGGACGGCGCCGGGGGCCCCCGCCGGCCCGGUAGAGCAUUGAAGAAAAUGGGUCUGACGGAGGACGAGGACAUCCAGCGGAUGCUCCGGGGGUCCCUGCUCCGGAAGAUCAAGUCCCGGGGGAGCCCCAGGGAGCGGCUCUUCCGUCUGCAGGAGGAUGGGGCCACCGUCUGCUUCGAGGGGCGCUUCAGGCGUGCUCGCGCCCAGCGGAGCUUCUCGGUGAUGCACAUCGAGGGGGUGCGUGAGGGACACCAGUCAGAGGGUCUUCGCAAGCACGGGGCUGCCUUCCCCGCGCCGCACUGCUUCACCCUCACCUUCAAGGGCAAGCGCAAGAACCUCGACCUGGCUGCCCGCAGCGAGGAGGACGCCCGCCACUGGGUGCAAGGGCUCACCAAGCUGAUGGGGCGGCUGCAAGCCAUGAGUCAACCCGAGAAGCUCGACCACUGGAUCCAUGGGGUCCUGCAGCGAGCAGACAGGAACAAGGACAACAAGAUGUCAUUCCAGGAGGUGAAGAGCAUGCUGAGGAUGAUCAACAUUGACAUGAAUGAUGUCUAUGCCUACAAGCUCUUCAAGGAUUGUGACUGCUCGGGUGACGAGCGGCUGGAGGGGCGGGAGCUGGAGGAGUUCUGCCGGCGGCUGCUGCGGCGCCCGGAGCUGGAGGAGGUUUUCGGGCAUUACUCGGGUGAGGAUCGUGUCCUGUCGGCUGAGGAGCUGCGGGAUUUCCUACGGGAUCAGGGGGAGGACGCCAGCCUGCGCCAGGCCCGCGCCAUCAUCCGCUCCUACGAGCUCAAUGAGAAGGCCAGGCAGCAGGACUUCAUGACCCUGGAUGGCUUCAUGAUGUACCUCCUCUCUGCCGCCGGUGACAUCCUCAACCAGGAGCACACCAAGGUGCACCAGGACAUGAGCCAGCCCCUGUGCCACUACUUCAUCUCCUCCUCCCACAACACCUACCUGACCCACCACCAGAUCGGUGGCACCAGCAGCACCGAAGCCUAUGUCCGGGCGCUGGCAGCAGGGUGCCGCUGUGUGGAGCUGGACUGCUGGGAGGGCGCCCAUGGGGAACCUGUGGUCUACCACGGCCACGCGCUCACCUCCAAAAUCCUCUUCCGGGACGUCAUUGAGAGCAUCCGUGACUACGCCUUCAAGCAAUCCCCCUACCCCGUCAUCCUGUCCCUGGAGAACCACUGCGGGCUGGAGCAGCAGGUCACCAUGGCCCGGCACAUGAGGUCCAUCCUGGGGGACAUGCUGCUGACGGAGCCGCUGGAGGGGCAGGACCCCCACGACCUCCCGUCCCCGGAGCAGCUGAAGGGGAAGAUCCUGGUGAAGGGCAAGAAGCUGCCGGAGCCAUGGCAUGAGCCCCAGGAUGUCACCUCCCUGCUGGACCCUGAGGAGGAGGAAGAAGAGGAGGAGGAGGAAGAAGAUGAGGAGAAGCUGAAGGAGAGAAACAGGCGGCGGUCACUGCAGUCACCGCAGGAGAGCAAACCUCUGCAGGCCAAGGAUGCUUCAGAGGUGGCCGCGGCGCUGUCGGCCAUGGUGGUGUAUUGCCAGGCUGUGCCCUUCCCCGGCCUGGCCCAUGCCCUGCGUCACCCCCGGCCCUGCGAGAUCUCCUCCUUCAGCGAGAGGAAGGCUCGGAAGCUCAUCAGGGAGGCGGGCCCAGCACUGGUGCAGUACAACACCCGCCAGCUCAGCCGCGUGUACCCGCUGGGGCUGAAGAUGAACUCCUCCAACUACAACCCCCAGGAGAUGUGGAACGCCGGCUGCCAGCUGGUGGCACUCAACUUCCAGACGCCGGGAUAUGAGAUGGACCUGAACACCGGGCGCUUCCUGGGCAAUGGGGGCUGUGGGUACGUGCUGAAGCCCCCCUGCCUGCGCAGCCCCCCUGGAGAUGGGCCCGGGCGCCUGGUACUGCAUGUCAGGGUGAUCACGGCGCAGCAGCUACCGAAGCUGAGCAAGGACAAGGCCAGUUCCAUCGUGGACCCCUUCGUGCGGGUGGAGGUCCACGGCGUCGCGGCCGACUGCAGCAAGCAGCAGACCCACCACAAGCUCAACAACGUCCCCUUAUACCCCAGUGCAGGAUGGCAGCUAAGCUGAGGCAGGGGGGAGCGCUCUGGUGGGUCAGACUGGUCCCUGCAUCCGUGGUGGCCCUGGCGGCUGUGGUGGCCCUGGUGGCAGCGCCACCUCCCAUCCCGGUGCCGCAGGCUUCAACCCGCGCUGGGACGAGACGCUGAGCUUCGAGCUGCAGGCGCCGGACCUGGCGCUGCUGCGCUUCGUGGUGGAGGACCACGACAGCACCUCCUGCAACGACUUCGUGGGGCAGUUCACGCUGCCCAUGGGCAGCCUGCGGGAAGGGUAUCGGCACAUCCAUCUGCUCUCCAAGGAUGGCACGUCCCUGUCCCCCGCCACGCUCUUCGUGCACGUUCGAUGCAAGAGCCUGUGAGGUGCCAGCUCAAGGGACAUUGUGUCCCUGUGUAGGGGACAACAUGCUCCUCCAUGGGAUGGGCACCGUCCUGUGCUACAGACACCCCACACCCUGUGUGGGGACAGCCUGGGGGUGUCACUCGCCUGGCCACGGGGACACAGGGGGUAGGGGACCCCCUCCAUGUCCCCUAGUGCCACCCCAUCUGCCAGCCCAUGUGCCCCACUCCUCCCCUCCCUGGCUAUGACCCUACGUGGACAGAGGUGCUGUGACAAUGAGGACAGGGUGGCCAGGCCAUUGACAGCCCAGCACAGCCCUGGGAGGGGGGGUGAGAGGGGUGACAGCAAGCCCCAAAUGUCACCAAGCCCUGGAUGUGCUUGAUCCCAGCCCCUCCUUGGCCUACAAGGACAGUGCCAUCACCAUGAGGUCCUCAAGGCCACCAUGCAGCCCCUGAGGGGACCCUGCCACCACAUGCCUUAUGUGCCCCUGGCUUGGCCGGGGGCUGUUCCCAACCCCCGCGCCAGCACCGGUGACAGUCACAGAUUUACACCCCGGUGUUAAGCCAGUCAAAUAAAGGUUUUAUUUUAACAGA